ACGUAGGAGGCAAGCGUUGUCCGGAAUUACUGGGCGUAAAGAGCUCGUAGGCGGUUUGUUGCGUCGGCUGUGAAAUCCCGAGGCUCAACCUCGGGUCUGCAGUCGAUACGAGCAAACUAGAGUGUUGCAGGGGAGACUGGAAUUCCUGGUGUAGCGGUGAAAUGCGCAGAUAUCAGGAGGAACACCGAUGGCGAAGGCAGGUCUCUGGGCAUUAACUGACGCUGAGGAGCGAAAGCAUGGGGAGCGAACAGGA
This 253-nucleotide ribosomal RNA is filed under the name uncultured prokaryote. RNAcentral describes it as "partial 16S ribosomal RNA". It matches the Rfam family "Bacterial small subunit ribosomal RNA", at positions 525 to 777 of the family's 1533-position model. The record is from RNAcentral.